GCUCAAACGAGCUUACAUUAAUACCAGAGUAUGUAAUAUGCUCAAUUCUGUUGUCAUUGAACAAAACAGACAAAUAUUUCCUGACCAUGCCAAAAAUGUUAUUGAAUUGUAAACUAACGUCAGUGAUAAACAUUGGACUUUUUUUAGUAUCUUCCUUGAUUGAUAGAUUAUCCCUCAAAAGAGUUGAUCUAUCGGUAUUUAAGGCACCUUGAAAAGCCUUAUCCAAAAUGUGAUCAGAGUAACCACUAUCACAAAACCAUCACAAUGAAGUGGAAAGCGUGAUAAAGCCAAUAAUAGAUUGGACAAAGAACAAGG
Molecule: non-coding RNA, 315 nt
Organism: Pelobates cultripes (western spadefoot toad)
Lineage: Eukaryota; Metazoa; Chordata; Amphibia; Anura; Pelobatidae
Source: the annotation of a GenBank genome assembly